UAUGCCCUCAUCAGACUGGCAAAACAUUUCAAGUCUAGCAAUAUCAAGCACAGGCAACAAAGUAGAGAAACAAAGCACUUAUCCAGUGCCAAUGAGUGUGAAAAUUAACACAACCGAUUCUGGCAUUACCUAGUAAAGUGGAAAUGGGCAUGAACUAUGACUCUGCAAUUCCACUCCAAGGAUUAUAUCCUAGGGCAGGGGUCCCCAACCCUCAGGCCACGGACUGGUACCAGUCCAUGGCCUGUUAGGAACCAGACCCACAGCAGGUGAGCUGCAGGCAAGCAGGCAAAGCUUCAUCUGUAUUUACAGCCGCUACCCAUUACCCAUUACCGCCUGAGCUCUGCCUCCAGUCAGAUCAGCGGCGGCAUUAGAUUCUCAUAGGAGCAAGAACCCUAUGUAAACUGCGCAUGCAAGGGAUCUAGGUUGCAUGUUCCUGAUGAGAAUCGAAUGCCUGAUGAUCUGUCACUGUCUCCCAUCACCCACAGAUGAGACCAUCUAGCUCCAGGAAAACAAGCUUGGGCUCCCACUGAUUCUACAUUAUGGAGAGAAGCUGGCUGAGAUGGAGCACACAGCUGACAGCUAGCAACUGCAACAAGCAUAACAAUCAUAAUCACAAAUGCAGGGGCAGGGGUGGGGGAGUGAAGAGUGUGGAAUCGAAGGUCAGGCCAGACUCACCAGAGGAAAAGAUAUUAGCUCAUCUGAAUUCAUAGCACUCAGCUGCUUCUUGGAGAUGGGGAAACUUGGAGGCAGGAAGUACCGUAAACAAUUCCUAAAGAAGGCAGGGAUAGUAAUUCAGAAUGGCAUGGAGCAGGCAGAGAGCUGCUGCUGGCCCUGGGGUGGGAAGACAAAAGACACAUGUACCGGAGGAUCUGGACAAGCAGGUCGAUGGUCUCGUGAUUGGUGCUCAGGGCAGUGGUGUCAGGCUCAAUGCGGAGGCAUUCGGAAGUGGAGGGCUCUGCCACAGCUAUGGCCUGCUGGGCCACAGGGCCCACCUCCUCCUCCCCGCCCUCCUGUUGUGUAUCAAGGCUCUGAUGUUCCGGAGAAGGGGGUUUCAUCAGCCGCACAUCCUCACUGCCUUUCUCCACCCUGUGGAAGACACACAGCUUAUGUUAUGUCUGACCCGGGCUCCCAGGAUGGGCUGCUGGCAGGGAGGCCGGGGAUACCUCUUUCGAGGAACCACUGCUCCUCCCUGAUUGGGGCAUUACCAGCGGUCUCUUGGUGUCGUGUCUGUGGGCACGUAGUCAAACUUCACCUUCCACCGCACCACAUGCUUGCCCACCUCCACGGCUGUGACACGGCCCGUGUACCACUCCCUGUUCACACGCACCUCCACGUGAAGCCCUUUAUCUGACAAUGUAGACAGAGGUGCGAGUCAGAAAACUAGCCUAGAGUCCCUCACUUGGCCUGGGCCACAUCGAGAAAGGCAGUCCCCAGGGUUUGGAGGACAGGAACACUUAGGUCCUUGCCCCCACUACACCAGGGACACAGAGACCAGGGACCAGCCACCAUGGUCUCCUUCCCCAUCUGUUAUGAGGGUGCCAAAAAGCAGGAGAACAAGUGACCGCCAGGAGUGAACACCAAGGAAUUAGUGUUAAAAAUAACCACAAAGGGGUGAUCCCUUCAGAAUUCUGCUUGGGAUUAGACUUGGAUCCACUGCUGCACAAGAGCCCAGACCCAGGACAGAUUCAAUGAGCCUUUGGUAAAUUGCUGCUGGUAAGGGGCUCCACUUCCACUCCCACUCCCACCCCCGCCACAGGCUGCCAAGUCACUCCCCCAGCUCACCUUUCUGAGCUCUCUUGAGGUCAGCCGAGUCCUCUUCCCCAGCACUGUCUGAGAGCUGCGUGGAGAGCAGUCUAUUAGAGGCAUCCCCAGUGCCCCCCAAGAGCAGACUUGUGCCUUACUGGCCACCCGGAGUCAUCAGCCAUCAUCUUCACGACUUCCUGUGCUACAGUUUAAAUCACCAAGCCCCGUUGAGAGCCACACUCCAAAAUCACUGUCCAAGGUACCUACCCUUCUGCUACCUUUAUGAACAAGACAGCAGGCAAGGGACAUGUGUUUCAAGCCUCACUGAUGUACGUCUGUGUGACUUCAGGCCUGUGGUUAAGCCAGAAGCCAGUCUCACUCAAGACCCUACCUGGCACCAUGUUUAGUCACUUGUGUAACUGAGAGUCCUUGAGAGAUCACUUGGCUUCUGGAAGGCUCAUGACACGAAUAUAAACAGAGUUGGUGCAGACUGCUGGUUGGGGGGGUAGACUGCUGGUGGGUUGUGUAGACUGCUGGUGGGUGGUAUAGACUGCUGAUGGGGGGUGCAGACUGCUGGUGGGGGCUGCAGGCCCUAGAGAGGGAGGCUUUGAGAACCUCACCUCAACCACUCACCUCAUUCGAGUCCUUCUUUUCCUCCUUCACAACAAAUCUGCCCCGCUUGCACCUCUCCUUCCUCCUCUCAGCUUCCUCCUCAACUUCUUCCUCAUCAGAAACUGCAACACUCCGCUUCCGACUAGGGGUAGCCUAGAGCAAGAGGAGCGUGAGGAUGUGAGGGGCCCUGUUCAGCCUCUAAGGAGCAGGAAGAUUUCAUCUAGCCUAAAGGAGCCGUUCCAAGAGGAGCUGUACUCCCUGCAAUCCCUGCCUGACAUUACUUGGAAUGUACACAGGCAACCCACUGGCCCCUGCGCCAUAAGGAUUUUUGCUCAAAGCUGUCAUAGGAGAAGCUUCUCAAUUCCCUUCCCACCUUAGUCUACCUGGCCAACUAGCUGUCACCUCCCCAAGAACCACCGACCACUGCCGCAGCCCACUCAGGCUAUCUGUCACCAGAUGACUGGCCUAAGCCCACACUUCGAGAGCCAGUGGAGGUGACUCAAGUUUGUGGCAGACCAAAACUCGGAGGGAACAGUGAAGAGCUCGCUGUACAGGCAACCGAUGUGCUGUCUGGCCCCGAACAAGUCCGUUCAGCUAUCAAGGCUUCCCGUCCUCAGGGGCAGCAGCAAAGCUUUAGAUUCAGUAUCCUCCCAAGGCUCCCCUAGUACAGCUGUGACACUGCACAAUUCCAUUCCUACACUACUGACACUGGGCUGGGGUAUUAAAGAGGACAAGCGUCUCACCGGGGAGAGUUUGAUGGGUGACUCUGUCUUCUUCACCACUGGAGUCUUGAUGACUUUGGGAGAAGGAACCUCCCGAGGGCUCUUGGAGUUGGGCAGUAAAGAUGGUGACAGUUGCUGCACCAGAGGGACAGGUCGGGAUGCAGUCUUGACAAGAGUGUUGGCAGGCUUUCGGGGUGCCUCAGGUGGCUGGAGCAGCCUGGAUGUGCUGGCCUCCUCCCGGGCUGCCAAAGCAGGGAGCUUUGGGGUACUGCUGAUGACAGGAGCCUUUCGGGGCUGGCUGGCUGGUCUAGGAGUUGGCAAAGAAGGGGGUCUGCUGGGGGCGUUCCUGAUCACAGCAGGUAAAGGGGGCGACCGAGGACGCUGAGGUCUACGCACAGGUUCCUAAAAAAAGGCCCACAGAGAGUGAGAACACUGAUCCUAGCAUGAGACACCUGAGGAAAAGCCCUUCCCAGGCCCCUGGACUUCACCUCAGUGGAAGGUCUGGUGGUCACUUCCAAGGGCAAUUUCUUCAGGUCUGCUUGGGAGCGGAUGGGUGUGGUUUUCUGCAAGGCAAACAUCAUGAUGAAGUUGUUUGCAUAUUUUAGUAUACUUGAGCAAACUUUUUGGAUAGUGUCUGGAACCAGGGACAAAAAAAAUAGAAAACCUGAGCCAUAGUCCUACUCUUACAAACCUCCCGUUCUCACUGGGGAGACACAAAAUACAUAAAUACUCAACUAUCAGCAAAUUACAGGAAACUGUGUGAUUAAUCCAGCAACUGAGAGACUGGCAAAAAGUGUCAAUAGACUAAAUUCCUAUAAAAGGAACCCAAAAAGGGAGAAAGGGCCCGAUGGAUAGGGAAAACCUGGAUGAAGGCAGAAAGGAAAGGUGGGAUUUAGCAGCUAGGGAGGCAUGCAUAAAACAUCAUGGGUUAGUAAGAGCACAUCUGCACAGACACAGAAGCCAAAAAGGGAAAUGGUUGUGUACUAAAUAUGAUAAACAGCUGAUAUCACAGACAUAUCUAGAAAAAAACAUAGAAAAAAUAAAAAUGUAAGUGAAUAAGCAGUUUAAAAGGAAUAAAAGUGGACACAUGAAAAAUUAGGCAAUCUUAGAAAUAUUAAGGAAAUUAAAUUAUAAAACAUGCAUCUUUGCCUAUGAAAUUUGCAACAACAUUUAAAAAUAAUGCUCUCAUAUACUGCUGGUAAAUAAUAGAAAUUAACACAUCUCUG
Molecule: long non-coding RNA, 4303 nt
Filed under: Pan troglodytes (chimpanzee)
Lineage: Eukaryota; Metazoa; Chordata; Mammalia; Primates; Hominidae
Description: long non-coding RNA NONPTRT009578
Source: RNAcentral